GGCUUUAUAUUCAAUAAUGAUAGUAGAUUGCAAAUCUAAAGGUGUUUUAAACUAAAGCUU
Molecule: transfer RNA, 60 nt
Filed under: Polionemobius taprobanensis
Lineage: Eukaryota; Metazoa; Arthropoda; Insecta; Orthoptera; Trigonidiidae
Description: tRNA-Cys
Source: RNAcentral